Molecule: ribosomal RNA, 167 nt
Filed under: Moringa rivae
Lineage: Eukaryota; Viridiplantae; Streptophyta; Magnoliopsida; Brassicales; Moringaceae
Description: 5.8S ribosomal RNA
Rfam family: 5.8S ribosomal RNA
About the family: 5.8S ribosomal RNA (5.8S rRNA) is a component of the large subunit of the eukaryotic ribosome. It is transcribed by RNA polymerase I as part of the 45S precursor that also contains 18S and 28S rRNA.
Source: RNAcentral
AAAAUGACUCUCGGCAACGGAUAUCUCGGCUCUCGCAUCGAUGAAGAACGUAGCGAAAUGCGAUACUUGGUGUGAAUUGCAGAAUCCCGUGAACCAUCGAGUCUUUGAACGCAAGUUGCGCCCGAAGCCAUCUGGCCGAGGGCACGUCUGCCUGGGUGUCAAAGCAU